CUGGACCAAUGUCUGCCCACACUAGGAAGAACAGAUUGCUCUGCUCAUGUGAUCCAGCAACCUCCUCUGCUCCAUGAUGCCAGAAUUAAUCCCCUGUCAUCUUUUACUGAAAUAUUAGCUCCUGUGAGGCAUGCACUGUCUCAUCAUUUUUCUUAAAUCUGGAUAGAUUCAGUUCCACUUUUUAUCUGCUUCUUCAUCCUCAUUUAUUCCCUAAAAUCUUUCACACAGUUCCUAUAGAGUCAAAUCUAGUUGAGAUGUGAUUACCUACAUCUCUCUCCUCCUCUCUUUUUCCCCUUGCUCACACCAUGACGCAGCGUGUUUCUCCCUGAGGAUGGAGGAGGAAAGGUGCAGCAGAGGACAAAGCUCUCUGCCAACAUCACCAAGGGGAAGAGGGAAUACUGGGAAGCAGAGAGCCAUGAUGUCUGGGGCAUCACUGAUGAAGAAGAGACAACAGGAAGAAUGGAAUGCAAUGUUUUUCAGUGCUCACCUUAGCAAAAACAAGAUCCUCAGCAUUAAAGAAAGAAGGAUUUGCUUGGGAAGUUCACUAUUUUUCUUUACUCUGGGAUACACUGCACUUUUACUAAUCCUCUGUUAACUAUCCACGUGUGUCUUUACAGGCAGGAGGCAUAAAUCUGCAAUGAAGCAGCAUAUGAAGACAUGACCUUCUCUCAGCAGUCAUUUUGUUUGAACGGCUACAGCUAGGCUUGAAUCUCAAUUUCCCCUUUACCUUUCUGUCUUUGAAAAUGUAUUAUCACUAACACCCUAGACAUGUAGGUCACAUCUCCAAAGAGACCUCACCAGGACGCCUGCAUUCAUAUCUGAAUAAAAAGCAGAGUGCUGACA
Molecule: long non-coding RNA, 843 nt
Filed under: Coturnix japonica (Japanese quail)
Lineage: Eukaryota; Metazoa; Chordata; Aves; Galliformes; Phasianidae
Description: lncRNA (ENSCJPG00005013415.1)
Source: RNAcentral